RNAcentral lists this long non-coding RNA (1418 nucleotides) under Homo sapiens (human). Its description in RNAcentral is "HSALNT0328875". The record is from RNAcentral. Lineage: Eukaryota; Metazoa; Chordata; Mammalia; Primates; Hominidae.
UGGAAACCAGCUCCUCCAAAAUAAAUGUCCAGGCUUGUCUGAAACUUGCUCCUCAUCACAUCAUCUAUCAGUAAUUUUCAAUUAAGUGUACAAUGGGGUCUAGCUCCACCCUCCCUUAUGCCUGUAAUGACAUGACUGGAAACGUAGGGCAUUUUAAUUCUACAACUAUUAACCAGUCCCAGCUGGCCACAGCUCAGCAUUUUCAGGGGCUCCUACAUAUAAAAUCUUCAACCUCUAGUACAAGGAUGAUCUCUUAACCACAAGAAAAACAAAUGAAUCCCAAGUAGAAGAACGUCAAUAGAUUUUAAUGUAUAACUAAUAUCUACAGACCCCUGCCCUCACCCUUAUUCCCUGUAGUGGAUGCUGGGAUGCAGCACCACACCCCUCUUUACCGACUGAAGCAUGUGUUCUCUCAGCUGCCAGCAGGGUUGGCUGCAGAAGGCUUAUGACUGAGUCCCUUCCUGGGAACUGCUUUCUGUGGAAGGCAGACACUUAUGCCCCUUCCCCAGAGACACCCCAUAUCCAAUGACUAUAUGAUAUGAGGCUACAAAGGCCUAGCCCUCUUGCCUCAACUCUUGGCUAUGCUGAAGGACAAUCUUAUUUCCAGAACUUCCUGUAAGAUCAGCUGAGACAUCUCCUGUAAGUCUGUCACAGUUCAACUUCUCCAUGUGCCUAAUCCUGCUUCCUUCACUCCCUCACAGGUGUUGAUCCCAAGUGUAAUCCUAGGGAACCCGACUUAAGGCCUCCCCAUCUGAAGAACACAAUCUCAAGGAAGAAUUUAAGGGGAAACCUGUCUACACAGUUUGACUUUCUGUAAAGAACUGAAAUCAGAACUGGAAGAGGUCUUAGAAAUCAUCUAGUCCGACCACCUCCUUUGACAGAUGAGGAAGAACACAUGUUCCUCCUUAGAUUUCAAUGCUAAUGGGGAAGAAGAAGGUGCCUAAAAACAAGGAGGGAAAAUCAUUCAAGACAUCUCCAGGACAGCUCCACAAAUAGAGGGGCCUCCAAUUGACCAGAGGAAUCUUCAACUCACCUAGAGCAAAGGUUCAGAAGAUGAAAGGGCUUUCACCUCAGCAAAGUGGAACUGAUAUUGUGGGAGAGUUAUUGAGUAAUAGACCCUCAUCCUCACAUCAAACAUCCCUAACCUUGCCAGACACCAGCCUCUCCCAGACAGCUCACUGAAGAAGAGGUCCAACCAAGACCAUGGCUGGAACCUGGAUGCUCUGAACAGGUGAUGGCAACAAUGAGGUCUCUGGGGAGGAGUAAGGAUAUGUGUGUGUGUGUGUGUGUGUGUGUGUGUGUGUGUGUGUGUGUGUGAAGUGGGUGGGGGGGGGAGAGAGAGAAUAUGAAUGAAGACUCUGGAAAAAUAUACCUUUUGAAAAAGCCACAGGCCAGGUGCGGUGGCUCACACCUGUAAU